This 341-nucleotide long non-coding RNA is filed under the name Ananas comosus (pineapple). RNAcentral's name for it is "long non-coding RNA (ACOM_LNC044189)". Lineage: Eukaryota; Viridiplantae; Streptophyta; Magnoliopsida; Poales; Bromeliaceae. The record is from RNAcentral.
GUUAUUAUAUAUGUUUUCUUUUAGCAGCUCUAUACUACUGGUUGUAAUGUUGUAUGAUUACAGAUACAGAUACAGCUAUCGCUUCGUAUUCAGGGAAAAUUCCUAUGUAUACGGCGGGUAUGUUAGCGUGCCCGGAAAAAAGAGAAUACGGGGCGUGACAGAUUAAGUUGGUAUCAGAACUUAGUAUUAGGUCGUUGGGACCUAGGAACCCUAAGUUUGGCAAACCUUAAAAAGGCAAGAUGCAAGAGGCAUGAUUUAUCGCGAAAGUUAGUGAGUGAUUAGUUUUAACUCUUAGAGUGGAGUGAGUGACUGAAGGAGUGUCUGUUUCGGCCAAAAAAAUU